Molecule: long non-coding RNA, 334 nt
Organism: Gadus macrocephalus (Pacific cod)
Lineage: Eukaryota; Metazoa; Chordata; Actinopteri; Gadiformes; Gadidae
Exons: 2
Source: RefSeq, a predicted model, not a curated record
GGGGGGCUUCAAAUAACAUUGUGUCCCAGCGUCAGAAGUGGAGGAGGGCAAGGGCUGAUCCCCAGUAUCGACACUCUCCACAGUGUCUACACUGGCCACGGUCUCCUGCUCUAUAGCAUGAUGCUUACCGUGGCAAUCUCUCGCUUGCGGCAGACGGUGUCUCUCGACCUCGGGACAGGGCAGGCAGAGUGGUUUGCAUGCACAGACGGCACGGCGGUAGGAAUUAACUUCGCCGUCCUCUUACUCUUUAAACCAAGUGAGACCAUCUUGGCAUCCCCUGAGUGGUAAUCCUCCUCCUUGAAAUGCGCGCUGCAUAUUCUGGAGUACGCGGUAA